This 218-nucleotide long non-coding RNA is filed under the name Actinidia chinensis (golden kiwifruit). RNAcentral describes it as "long non-coding RNA (ACHI_LNC003181)". Lineage: Eukaryota; Viridiplantae; Streptophyta; Magnoliopsida; Ericales; Actinidiaceae. The record is from RNAcentral.
GUGUCUCCUAUGGAAGCGAACCUCAAGAUGGGUCACCCAUAUCGCUUCCUGGGCUUGUGCCUAAAGUUGGUCGAGGGAUAUGAUACGAACUAUUUCAAAAAUAGUUCCAUCCGUGCAUGUGCGUGGAUUCGUAUUUUGGUAUAAAACAUGCCUAAAAGAGGGAUCGAUCCAAUUUCCCACUGCUUGUAUGAUAUUCUCAGUUUUGCAAGGGAGGGUUU